RNAcentral lists this unclassified non-coding RNA (498 nucleotides) under Hevea brasiliensis (rubber tree). The record is from RNAcentral. Lineage: Eukaryota; Viridiplantae; Streptophyta; Magnoliopsida; Malpighiales; Euphorbiaceae.
GUCAUAGCUGCUCUAGACUGAUUGGGUAGGUUGCUCGUUAAGCUGCUGAUCUUACUUAAACAUUUGCCGAUCCAACUUGGAAGUUUGAUCUUCUCGUAUUCUUUAUUUGGUACUUCAAUUUCCCGCAUACCAUUGAAAAUUAUCAUUUCUUUUUUUUUUUUUUUUUUUUUAAAAAAAUUCCCUUUUACUCCAUUGAAGAUGAUAAAAUGUCAUUGUUAAUUAAGCCAAAUACCUGUAUAGGGAAGAGGCAAUAUUAUGUGUUUGCUGCAAUUAUCAGGUUCACUAUUUGAAUUUUAGCGGAAUCAUGGCCAUAUUUGAGCGAAGUAGAUCUCGAAUAUGGUUGCACUUGAUAUUUUACCUUUUUGCAGACCUGGCCAGGCAAGGAGUUUUGAAACCCGAGGCUGAGGAUGUUUAUUAUAAUUUUGUCCACUUGUGUCUUUGAUUUUUCUCUACAUUUUAGCGCAGAUGUUGGAAAUUUGUUUUGGAGUUGUCUUGAAG